GGGGUUGUGCCUGAAUUAUAGGGCCACUUUGAUAGAGUGAAACAUGGGGGAUAAAGACCCCCCAACCCCU
This 70-nucleotide transfer RNA is filed under the name Zenopsis nebulosus (mirror dory). RNAcentral's name for it is "tRNA-Ile". Lineage: Eukaryota; Metazoa; Chordata; Actinopteri; Zeiformes; Zeidae. The record is from RNAcentral.